AGGAUAAACGCUGGCGGCGUGCCUAACACAUGCAAGUCGUACGAUCUGUAGCAAUACAGGGAGUGGCGGACUAGUGAGUAACACGUAGGAAUCUACCCCUUCGGAGGGAAUAACCAAUCGAAAGAUUGGCUAAUACCCAAGAAGUCCCGCAAGGAACAGAGUCGAAAGGCCUGGAGGGAUGAGCCUGCGGCCCAUCAGCUAGUUGGUGAGGUAAGAGCUUACCAAGGCUACGACGGG
Molecule: ribosomal RNA, 237 nt
Filed under: uncultured bacterium
Lineage: Bacteria
Description: partial small subunit ribosomal RNA
Rfam family: Bacterial small subunit ribosomal RNA
Source: RNAcentral